Molecule: ribosomal RNA, 468 nt
Filed under: uncultured bacterium
Lineage: Bacteria
Description: partial 16S ribosomal RNA
Rfam family: Bacterial small subunit ribosomal RNA
Source: RNAcentral
GAUGAACGCUGGCGGCGUGCUUAACACAUGCAAGUCGAGCGGAAAGGCCCUGAGUUUGUGCGGUGCUCGAGGGCGGCAGGGGUGCGUAACACGAGAGUAACCCCCCCCUACCUUUGGGAGAACUUUAGGAAACCGGGGCUAAGACCGGAUAGGAGCUCCUGCUGCAUGGUGGGGGAUGGUAAGAUUCGGCGGUUGGGGAUGGUCUCGCGGGUUACGAGCUAGUUGGUGGGGUAGUGGCUUACGAAGGCUUUGACGGGUAGCCGGCCUGAGAGGGGGACCGGCCACCUUGCGACUGAGCUACGGCCCAGACUCCUACGGGAGGCAGCAGUGGGGAAUAUUGCACAAUGGGGGCAAGCCUGAUGCAGCAGCGCCGCGUUCGGGAUUACGGCCUUCGUGUUGUGAACCACUUUCGCAGGUACCGAAGCGUGAGUGACGGUAAUGGAUAAAGAAGCACCGGCUAACUACGUG